AAUACAGCAGUUGUCUGGGAAACAAGGAAUCUAGAUUCCAGUCCCAGCUUUGCCUUCAGAUUCCUUGAAUGACUUGGCCAAGUGAUUUUACAUCCGGUGGCCUCAGUUUUCCCAUCUGUGGAAUGAAGUAUUGGAUCAGAUGAUCUCAGAAUCCAUUUUGGCACUAAACAUGUUUCUGUCUCCAAAGCAGAACUAGGAAAAGAGCCUAACAUUCCUGAAAGGUAAAUUAAAGCAGCUGGGUGAUUGAGGGAGGCGUGUUCUGAAACGUUGAACUUCCCCUUCAGCCCUCUGCUCCCACAGAAGACUUCCAACAAACUGCUGUUACUAAGUUUCCUGCACCAGCAAAUAACGGCUCACUUCUGCUGAACAUUAGCCAUGUGCUGGGUUUUACAGGUAUUGUCUCUUUUCGGCUUCUCAACAUUCCUGUGAGCAGUGACGAUGAGCAUCAUCCCCACUUUACAGAUGGAGAAAUCUGAGUCCUAGAAAGGCUAGGUCAAUGCCAAAGGUUACCUAGCUGAUAAAGGCAUAGCUAGGAUUGGAAGGGUGUCUGAAUCCAGACAGUGCGUUUUCAACUGCAGUGGCCACAAGUGGACCCAUCUGUGGGCAACGGGCCCUCCCUGCCACUGGUGUAUCCCCUUGUGCGAGGGGAGCCAGAGGAGUGCCCUGAUUUCGAAGCACUCCUGAGUGGUGGGGGUUGGGCCCCAAACACUUCCCUCCCACAAAGCAGGGUCCUGUCUAGCGGAUUGAAGGUUUCAUCUCAAUUCAGCAAACAUCUCCUAAACCCUCGCUGUGGCAAGGCCAGGGAAGGCUCCUCUGGUCUCCCUAACAGGUGGGGAGUCAGAAUCUCCCAGGCCGGCGGGCGGGGGUUGAAUCAGUGCUCCAGCCGAACCGAACCGCCUCCUUCAGUUUCCACCGGGGGGCCUGCGAGUCCGGCUCAUUAACAAGCUCCUCAGCUGACGGCAAAGUACAGCCAGCUUCCAAUCCCUGGGCCAGGCUGAGGGGAAAACCAGAACAGGAAGACUCUGAUUCUACCCUUUAAUGGGGGUGGGACGUGUGUGUGCCUUUUUCUUCCUUUUCCGCUUUCCUGGGGUCACUUCACAGCGGUCCUCAGGCCCAGGUGGAUGUUGAAAGUGGAGCUCUGACGGUGCCUCACCGGCCCGGUUCCUCAGCCCGCGUCUGAGGGCAGGAAAGGAGCCUGGUGCUUUCUCCGUCCUGACAACCUCUCCCCAGCCUCUCCCCUCUCUCUGAUCCGUAGACAGACGCCUGAAAAGAAUUUCUCAGAAAUGGCCCACAGAUGGCUCUGGGCAAAUCGCUUUUUUUGUGUUAAGGCAUUCUUCAUCUACUUUAUAAUUGGGCCGCAGGUUGGCCCUGAUUAAAAACAAGAAGGAAGGGGUCAGUUUCAUCCCUGGUGUUUAUUUUCACCGAUGUCCUCAUGAACGGGCAGCACAAGUUCAUCUCCACCCCCAAGUGGUUUUCAAGCUGAGACUGGUAAUUAUCCAAAAUGGCCUCCUGGUGUGAAAAGUCUGUAUUCCACUUGGGGCUCCCUUAUCCCAUAAAACUCAUUUAAUGUAUGAGCUUAAUUACGUGGCGAUCAAGGGCCUCGGAGGUGAAAGGCUAACUAGCGCAUUAAAUCCUGAGCUGCUCUCGGCUGCCCCAUCGCUUGGCAGAAUUGUGUGGGCAAAUCACUCUUGAAAAGCUCCCCAUCUGUGGGGUGAGUCCCGUACCAGGCACAUACAGCCAGAAACUGUCCCAGGGAGGAUGUGGGGCUCUGGAAGAACCGCGUUCUAUAAGGACCUCCUGCAGGCUGGUCCUGGGGGCAAGGGCGACAACUGCUUUGAGGAGCCCUAGAGGGCAGAACUUGAACAGCUGGUGAACUUCAUCAAGCAGCCAAUUUUGGCCAGUUUACUUAUUCAACAAAUAUUUAUUGAACCUCAACUAUGUGCCAAGCACUGAGUUAGGCGUUGGGGAUACUGGGAUGAGCAAAAUGCAGAUACAGUCUCUGUCCUGGAGCUUAGCAUCUAGCACAGGCAACAGACAUUGGACAAAUGACCAUCAAAGAAAUGUAAAACGUCAGCUGUGAGAUGGUGCCAUGAGAACGGUAAAGUGAGGAUUUGUCUCGGUAAGACUGUGUCAAGGAAAACUCGACCGGCUGAGUAACAGCAGAACUGAGAGCUGACAGGCGAGCUGACCUUGGCAAGCAGGGUGGGGAAAACAUUCCAGGGGCAGGAGCAUCUCAUGCCAAGGCCCUGUGGUGUGACAAAGCGUGGCAGGUGGGGGGAAUCAAAGAAGUCCCCUCCCCCAGGUCAUGGGGAACAGGCACAAGGUGAGAAGACGAGGGGGCAGAGCCCAGACCUAGCAGGCGGGUAGGACCAACUAAAGACUUCUGUCUUGACCCUGAGAAUAACGGAAAACCACAGAACGAUGUUAAGUGGGCGGGUGACAUAAGCAAACUUGGGUUAUGAGAAGAUCACUCGUACAGCCAUAAGACCAUUUCAACUUACCCUAAAGAAGAGCUUUCUAAUGGAGUGCUUGCCCUUGGGAAAGUAACAACAGUGAACACGUUUCUUGGGCUUUACCGGGAGCAAAGCACUGUGCCACGUGCUUUUCAUGGACUGGUACACUCGGCCUUGAGAACAACAUAUAAGUUAGUCAACCCCAGCUUGCCUCUUGGCAGACGACAGUAACAGAUGAGAAGGCGCUUUCUGUGUCAGCAUUAAUGUAUCAUUGAAAGCAAAUCACUGCCAAUUUGUAAGAUGAGACCACCGUCUAAGAGAAAAACCACCGUAUUAUCAGGCUGAAAUAUUUGCAGGGUGACUUAGCGAAGGUCCAGGGAAGCAGGCGCCUUAUUUUUUCCAGCUUUAUUGAGAUAGAAUUGACUUUCGAUAUUGGGAAAACUGAAGAUGGAGGCAGAGACUGCAGUCAGGCAGCUGCAAGGUGAGGAACACCACGGACUGACGGCACCAGCAGAAACGAGGAAGAGGCAAGAAAGGAUUCUACCCAGAGCCUCAGAGAGAGCAUGGCCCUGCUGACACCUCGAUUUCAGACUUGUAGGCUCCAGAACUGGAGAUAAUAAAGCUCUGUUUUUCUAAGCCACCCAGUGUGUGGUACUGUGUUACAGCAGCCCUGGGAAACUAUACACCUUUCUGUGUUCAAAGCAAGUUCUAGUUCAAGCUGAAAGCAGGGCCUCUAGGAGCUGUCAGUUCCUCCUGCCCUCCUCUCCCCACAUUGUAGACAUAAUUCACUUACCUUCUACUUCCUUUGAAUCUUGCUGAACUCCCACGCCUUAUAGAUUCACUGGAAUUCGGUGCUCAUGGGGCAUGGAGAACACUAUACGCAAAUGGGGCAGCAAGGGACAGCAGACACCUACUGCACAACUCUCUGUUCAGGUGCGUGCUCUGCCGUCCCCCCCGACUUCAUUUACAAAAUACGGGUUCAAAGAUAAAAUUCUUUCUUCUUCUUUUUUUUUUUCUUAAAUAGAUCGAGUUAAGAGUCUUUGUGAACACAGGUCCUGGCCUUUGUCAGUUAACUGAAUCCCUAGUUGAACCCUGUACUAUAAGGGAUGUGGCAGAAAUAGGCUCUGUUUCAGGCCCUUUGGUUUGUUUUAGGACUUUUGUUUUUUGUUUUUUGUGGUUUUUUUGCUGAGGAAGA
Molecule: long non-coding RNA, 3648 nt
Filed under: Equus asinus (donkey)
Lineage: Eukaryota; Metazoa; Chordata; Mammalia; Perissodactyla; Equidae
Description: lncRNA (ENSEASG00005027445.1)
Source: RNAcentral